GACGGAAGGUGCAAGCGUUGCUCGGAAUCAUUGGGCGUAAAGGGUGCGUAGGCGGCUUGGUGGGUCUGGUGUGAAAGCCCCGGGCUUAGCCCGGGAAGGGCGCUAGAAACUGCCGAGCUCGAGUGCCGGAGGGGAGAGUGGAAUUCCUGGUGUAGCGGUGAAAUGCGUAGAGAUCAGGAGGAAUACCGGUGGCGAAAGCGACUCUCUGGACGGCAACUGACGCUGAGGCACGAAAGCGUGGGGAGCAAACAGG
This 253-nucleotide ribosomal RNA is filed under the name uncultured bacterium. RNAcentral describes it as "partial 16S ribosomal RNA". It matches the Rfam family "Bacterial small subunit ribosomal RNA", at positions 524 to 776 of the family's 1533-position model. The record is from RNAcentral.